UGGGGAAUAUUGGACAAUGGGCGAAAGCCUGAUCCAGCCAUGCCGCGUGUGUGAAGAAGGUCUUCGGAUUGUAAAGCACUUUAAGUUGGGAGGAAGGGCAUUAACCUAAUACGUUAGUGUUUUGACGUUACCGACAGAAUAAGCACCGGCUAACUCUGUGCCAGCAGCCGCGGUAAUACAGAGGGUGCAAGCGUUAAUCGGAGUUACUGGGCGUAAAGCGCGCGUAGGUGGUUUGUUAAGUUGGAUGUGAAAUCCCCGGGCUCAACCUGGGAACUGCAUUCAAAACUGACUGACUAGAGUAUGGUAGAGGGUGGUGGAAUUUCCUGUGUAGCGGUGAAAUGCGUAGAUAUAGGAAGGAACACCAGUGGCGAAGGCGACCACCUGGACUAAUACUAACACUGAGGUGCGAAAGCGUGGGGAGCAAACA
RNAcentral lists this ribosomal RNA (427 nucleotides) under uncultured bacterium. RNAcentral describes it as "partial 16S ribosomal RNA". It matches the Rfam family "Bacterial small subunit ribosomal RNA", at positions 355 to 774 of the family's 1533-position model. The record is from RNAcentral.